GCUGAGAAUGGCGGUCAAUUUAAAAUGUUAUGGAAUUGGCUUAGCUAAUGUAAUGUUAUGUAAUCUUGUAUUGUAAUGUUGCUUUAUGUAAAAUCAAGCUGAAUGUCAACAAGGUCCAUCACAAGGUAAGUAUCUCUCUUCCUUUGAAUUAUUCACUCGCGUUUGAGUAAUGUAACUAAAUCCCCCUCCCUUUCUCUUCUUCAGGCUCUCUACUAUCCAUGUUCAAAAGCAGGAGUAUCUCACAGCAGAGUGAGGAGGAAAUGAAGAGGACCACAGCUGAUCUCGUGCCAGAUGAAGACCUCCAGAAGACUAUAGCAGCUCACUCUCCAGUGAAGACAGCAACCCAGCAGAAGAACGAAGAACAACAGACUCAGGAAGAAGACCUCCAGAAGAUCCCCCCCCCCCCCCCCUUUUUAUCUUUAGUUUCCUGAUUGGUUCGGUUGUCUUGUCUGCUUCUUAGAUUAGUUCUCAUUGUAUUUAGUAGGGAGGAUACACACCAGGUCCUAGGGCCUGUGAUUAGUUGACCGGUAGUACCUAAUCUGCUUUUUGUUGCUACAGUAAUGCUUUUAUGCCUAAGGACUACAGUUGACUUGUUAACUUGAGUGCAGUCCUAAAGUUUCCAUCAAUGAAACUGUCUUCAUGUUAAACUGUUCAUGUUGUUGUUGCCCAAAUGAGGAUGGGUUCCCUUUUGAGUCUGGUUCCUCUCGAGGUUUCUUCCUCAUGUUGUUGUCUGAGGGAGUUUUUCCUUGCCACCGUCGCCACAGGCUUGCUCAUUGGGGAUAGAUUAGUGACAAAAUUAGCUCAUGUUUUAAGUUGUUCAAAUUCUGUAAAGCUGCUUUGCGACAAUGUUUGUUAAAAGCGUUAGACUUAUGUUGAUUUUUGCUGACUCAUCGGGUGUUUUUCAAUGCCUUGGUUGUUUGCUUGUGUUUUAUGGAAAAAUAAAC
Long non-coding RNA from Neoarius graeffei (lesser salmon catfish), 944 nucleotides. RefSeq lists it as uncharacterized. NCBI's taxonomy places the organism in Eukaryota, Metazoa, Chordata, Actinopteri, Siluriformes, Ariidae. The record is from RefSeq and is a predicted model, not a curated record. The transcript has 3 exons.